GACGAACGCUGGCGGCGCGCCUAACACAUGCAAGUCGAGCGAAGCGGCGGACGGGUGAGUAAUACGUGAGUAACCUGCCUUAGACAUUGGGAUAGCCUCGGGAAACCGGGAUUAAUACCAAAUGGUCUAAGAUGGACUCGCGUCCCAUUAGCUGGUUGGUGGGGUAACGGCCCACCAAGGGGACGAUGGGUAGCCGGCCUGAGAGGGUGGGCGGCGACACUGGAACGAGGAAACGGUCGAAACUCUACGCGAGGCAGCAGUGGGGAAUAUUGCACAAUGGAGGGAACGAUGAUGCAGUGACGCCGCGUAAACGAAGUAGGCUUUCGAGUAGUAAAGUUCUUUUAUAUGAGAAGCGGUACCAUAAGAAAAAGCCCCGGCUAACUACGUGCCAGCAGCCGCGGUAAUUC
Molecule: ribosomal RNA, 407 nt
Filed under: uncultured bacterium
Lineage: Bacteria
Description: partial 16S ribosomal RNA
Rfam family: Bacterial small subunit ribosomal RNA
Source: RNAcentral